This 335-nucleotide unclassified non-coding RNA is filed under the name soil metagenome. RNAcentral's name for it is "partial contains 5.8S ribosomal RNA, internal transcribed spacer 2, and large subunit ribosomal RNA". The stretch from base 1 to 120 matches the Rfam family "5.8S ribosomal RNA", at positions 35 to 154 of the family's 154-position model. The record is from RNAcentral.
GAUGAAGAACGCAGCGAAAUGCGAUAAGUAAUGUGAAUUGCAGAAUUCAGUGAAUCAUCGAAUCUUUGAACGCACAUUGCGCCCGCCAGUAUUCUGGCGGGCAUGCCUGUUCGAGCGUCAUUUCAACCAUCAAGCCCUGCUUGCGUUGGGGUCCUGCGGCUGCCCGCAGGCCCUGAAAACCAGUGGCGGGCUCGCUAGUCACACCGAGCGCAGUAAUACAUCUCGCUUUGGGCGUGCGGCGGGUUCUUGCCGUUAAACACCCCCUUUUUACCAAGGUUGACCUCGGAUCAGGUAGGAAUACCCGCUGAACUUAAGCAUAUCAAUAAGCGGAGGAA